GAUGAACGCUAGCGAUAGGCUUAACACAUGCAAGUCGAGGGGCAGCAUGGUCUUAGCUUGCUAAGACUGAUGGCGACCGGCGCACGGGUGCGUAACGCGUAUGCAACUUGCCUCACAGAGGGGGAUAACCCGUCGAAAGACGGACUAAUACCGCGUACACUCCAUCUUGGGCAUCCAAGGUAGAGGAAAUGAAAUUCGCUGUGAGAUAAGCAUGCGUCCCAUUAGCUAGUUGGUGAGGUAACGGCCCACCAAGGCGACGAUGGGUAGGGGAACUGAGAGGUUGAACCCCCACACUGGUACUGAGACACGGACCAGACUCCUACGGGAGGCAGCAGUGAGGAAUAUUGGUCAAUGGGCGAGAGCCUGAACCAGCCAAGUCGCGUGAAGGAUGACUGUCUUAUGGAUUGUAAACUUCUUUUAUACGGGAAUAACAAGAGUCACGUGUGACUCCCUGCAUGUACCGUAUGAAUAAGCAUCGGCUAACUCCGUG
RNAcentral lists this ribosomal RNA (490 nucleotides) under uncultured bacterium. RNAcentral's name for it is "partial 16S ribosomal RNA". It matches the Rfam family "Bacterial small subunit ribosomal RNA", at positions 28 to 507 of the family's 1533-position model. The record is from RNAcentral.